This 428-nucleotide ribosomal RNA is filed under the name uncultured bacterium. RNAcentral describes it as "bacterial SSU rRNA". It matches the Rfam family "Bacterial small subunit ribosomal RNA", at positions 917 to 1341 of the family's 1533-position model. The record is from RNAcentral.
GGGCCCGCACAAGCGGUGGAGCAUGUGGUUUAAUUCGACGAUACGCGAAAAACCUUACCAGCUCUUGACAUGGGGAUUUUGGACCUUGGAGACAAGGUUCUUCGGUUCGGCCGGGUCCCACACAGGUGCUGCAUGGCUGUCGUCAGCUCGUGUCGUGAGAUGUUGGGUUAAGUCCCGCAACGAGCGCAACCCUUGUCCCUAGUUGCUAACAGGUUAUGCUGAGAACUUUAGGGAGACUGCCGGUGACAAACUGGAGGAAGGAAAGGAUGAUGUCAAGUCAUCAUGGCCCUUAUGGGCUGGGCUACACACGUGCUACAAUGGUGGUUACAAAAAGACGCAAUAGGGCGACCUGGAGCAAAUCUAUAAAAGCCAUCUCAGUUCGGAUUGUUCUCUGCAACUCGAGAGCAUGAAGUUGGAAUCGCUAGUAA